This is a long non-coding RNA of Ruditapes philippinarum (Manila clam), 360 nucleotides long. RefSeq lists it as uncharacterized. The transcript is spliced from 2 exons. NCBI's taxonomy places the organism in Eukaryota, Metazoa, Mollusca, Bivalvia, Venerida, Veneridae. The record is from RefSeq and is a predicted model, not a curated record.
UAUGCGACGGUUCUCUGUCCCUGGCAAGAUACCAUGUGAAUGUCUAGCAGUCUCUAUGCGGUGACCGCAAUCCUGUACUGAUUAAGCGAUCGCCUUGGUUAAGCGACCAGGCACUGCUGUGCAUUCUUCCUGAAUGUUUAAUUCAGUCAUUUCCUGUUUAGCACGUUUUUUCACGAGCUUAAUACGCAUGGAUUGAAAUUCUCCUGUCUGAGAAUAUGUUCAAUUCCAUGACAAACAUCUGGCACAAAUCUUGAUGGUUUUGCCAAUUCUGGUUCAUGCAUAAUGUCUCUAUGCCCAUGGUACACGUCAUCACUCGGACUUCCGGGCGCGUUUGUUUCUUCGUGUUUAUAUACUCCGGUG